UUUCCACAAUAAGAUUGCUCAAAUCCAGGGCAACAUCUUUUGCUGAUGGACUGAGGAGGGGGUUAAAGAAUGAUUUAGAGUGAAUUCCAGAAAGAAUAAUCUGAUCCCCCUGGAGGAGGACACAGGAUCUGGAUCAGAUGGGCUGUGGAGCCCGGGGAGGAAAUUACUGGUCGUAUACCUUGACCAUUCAUGGAAGAGACUCCUAUCUGAUAAGCUCGCCAGCUGCUGGGAUGGUCUGCUCCCCUCCAAUGCUGGGUAUGAAUGCCUACACCUCCAUGAACCGCACCACCAGGCGACUGCAUCACUCUCCCAGCAUAGUUUCCUUCAGACAAUCCUCUUCCUUAGAAGGAUCCUCAUUGCUUUCCCUUCAUGAGCACUCAAGACAGCAUCAAGUAUUGAUGAGAUGGGGAAAAGGCAGGUUGAUGUUUCCUGAUGUAAGCUGGAAACGCCAUGUAAGGUGGAGAUGAUGUGGGACGAAAGCGAGAGGAGCCUGAAGGCUCUGUACAGUCCACGUGUGGAGGCCUUGAUGUGGACAGAGUGGUUUCUGCCUGGGAAGAAUAGAAGCUCUGGAUUAUUGUGAAGAAGAGAGAGAAGAAAUGUUGAAUUUUUUAUCUGGGCAACAAACUAGGGGGAAUGAGACACCUGGCAGAUUAGAGAGAAGUGAGGUAAACUUUGUGGAAAUAGGUGGCUGGGUUUCUGUUUCCUCCCUGAAGGAUGGAAAGCAUUUCAAAGGGAGAAAAGAGCUCCAUACGUGGCAAAUCAUUCUCCCAACAAGAGGUCUGCUUCCCGUUGCUGAGAAAGCUGAGUAAUGGGACUGAGUGUAUAUGCAGUCAAACCAGCAGAGGCUUGUUCCUGAGCUUUGAUUUAGCUAGGCCGAAGAACCCAGAACAAUGGGGCUUUUUGGUAAUGUCUUUUAUUAUUUAUCAGUAUGUAUUGCUUUGAUAACCCAAUACUGUUAUGCUAAUCUUUUACAUAAAAAAGGGAUGUGGCACCU
Molecule: long non-coding RNA, 994 nt
Filed under: Fukomys damarensis (Damara mole-rat)
Lineage: Eukaryota; Metazoa; Chordata; Mammalia; Rodentia; Bathyergidae
Description: lncRNA (ENSFDAG00000025341.1)
Source: RNAcentral